GAGAUAAAUAAAAAUAAAAUAUAUAUAGUGUUAGUCGGAAAAACGUUUCCGUUUUCUUCAGAUCCGGUACCAGACAUCCCUGAGUAUAGGGUGAAGAGGGAAGACAGUGGCUGUCCAAUACAGACCCGAUUUUAAGUUGUAACCAAAUGCCACUCUUCUCUCUUCGUCAUUCCCCUUCCCUUCCGACAUCCACUUCGAAAACGAUCAAGCCCCAUAAAUCCGGUUUUACCCCUUCCUCCUCUCGUUAUCCCUUGCACUUCCUCAUCUUUUCACUUGUUUCCCUCCUCAUCGGCCUUGCUGGCACAAUAUUCGCUAUCUCCGCUAUCCGCCGGCCCCGGCCCUUACCUGUUUUCCGCUGCGGUAGAUCCGAAGACACUUUUCGCGCAUUCUACUCGAGCUCGGGUUCUAACAAGCUUGGAGAUGAUAACGCGGCGCUGAAUGAUCGGCCCAAGCUUCUUGGGUUCGUUGGAAUUCAAACCGGGUUUGAUUCCGUUGAUCGGCGUGCUGCCCUUAGAAGCACUUGGUUUCCUUCUGACCCAGAUGGGCUUUUGAGGUUAGAGCAAGCUACUGGUUUAGCAUUUAGAUUUGUAAUAGGGCGAUCAAACGAUGCAAAGAAGAUGGCACGACUUGAGAAAGAAGUUGAAAAGUACAGAGAUUUCAUGCUGAUAGAUGUUGAGGAAGAAUAUCUAAGGCUUCCAUACAAAACGUUGGCAUUUUUCAAGGCAGCCUAUAAGCUUUUUGAAGCAGAUUAUUAUGUUAAGGCUGAUGAUGACAUCUAUUUGCGUCCAGAUCGACUUGCAACUCUUCUCGCAAAGGAAAGAACCCAUGCAAUGACUUACAUAGGAUGCAUGAAGAAAGGACCAGUGAUCACUGACCCUAAAAUGAAGUGGUAUGAAAAAUCUGGGCAUCUGAUUGGAAAUGAGUACUUUUUGCAUGCUUAUGGUCCUAUAUAUGUUCUUUCAGCAGAGGUUGUGGCUUCCUUAGCAGCUGCUAGAAAUAACAGCUUUCAGUUUGAGAAUGUUCAACAAUGAGGAUGUCACUAUUGGUUCAUGGAUGCUUGCUAUGAAUGUUCACCAUGAAGAUAACCGCGCAAUUUGUGAUCCUCGAUGCACUCCAACAUCCAUAGCAGUUUGGGACAUUCCUAAAUGUUCAGGUUUAUGCAAUCCUGCUAGCCGUAUGAGGGAGCUUCACAAGAUUGAUAUGUGUUCCAAAAGCCCCACAUUGCCGGCUGACGAAAAAUAGUUUCUUCAUUUCAUUUGUGACAUGGCAAGAUGGGCUGUUUUGUUGGAGAUGCUUAGUUUGGUGGGAAAGCAAUUGUAUUCUUGAAGUAGCUUUCAGAAGAAAGGUGGAGAGCUUCCACCCCUGAACUAUUGAUGUAAAAAUUAGUGUACUAUAGGUGAGCAUUUCAUUACAUUAAAGUUCUUAAACAUAUGACAGUCAGUAAAUAUGUAGAAUAUCAAUAAAAGAUCUACAUCAACGGGACCAUCAUUUUGAUCA
Molecule: RNA transcript, 1497 nt
Organism: Hevea brasiliensis (rubber tree)
Lineage: Eukaryota; Viridiplantae; Streptophyta; Magnoliopsida; Malpighiales; Euphorbiaceae
Gene name: probable beta-1,3-galactosyltransferase 12
Exons: 7
Source: RefSeq, a predicted model, not a curated record